CUGGCUACAGCUGCCACCCUGGGAUGGUUGUCAUACGUUUUUGUGUAGGCCGUGACACACUGAGGCUGGAUUCUAAGUCUUCUUUCACCAAAACC
Long non-coding RNA from Thalassophryne amazonica, 95 nucleotides. RefSeq lists it as uncharacterized. NCBI's taxonomy places the organism in Eukaryota, Metazoa, Chordata, Actinopteri, Batrachoidiformes, Batrachoididae. The record is from RefSeq and is a predicted model, not a curated record. The transcript has 3 exons.